AAGCCAGUCUGUUAAUCUGCUUAACUAAAUGUGUUUGUACAGAAAUUUAGAAAAAGCUUGCAAUAGUAAUGCCAUGAUAUGAGUCUUAAGGACAAUCACAGUCAUUAAAGUCCCUGAAAUGGCUACCACA
This 130-nucleotide small nucleolar RNA is filed under the name Castor canadensis (American beaver). RNAcentral describes it as "Small nucleolar RNA SNORA33 (ENSCCNG00000017386.1)". It matches the Rfam family "Small nucleolar RNA SNORA33". Rfam says of the family: ACA33 is a member of the H/ACA class of snoRNA that guide the sites of modification of uridines to pseudouridines. The record is from Rfam by way of RNAcentral. Lineage: Eukaryota; Metazoa; Chordata; Mammalia; Rodentia; Castoridae.